RNAcentral lists this ribosomal RNA (218 nucleotides) under uncultured bacterium. Its description in RNAcentral is "partial 16S ribosomal RNA". It matches the Rfam family "Bacterial small subunit ribosomal RNA", at positions 328 to 544 of the family's 1533-position model. The record is from RNAcentral.
ACGCUCGACACCUACGGGGGCAGCAGUGAGGAAUAUUGGUCAAUGGGCGCUAGCCUGAACCAGCCAAGUAGCGUGAAGGAUGAAGGCUCUAUGGGUCGUAAACUUCUUUUAUAUAAGAAUAAAGUGCAGUAUGUAUACUGUUUUGUAUGUAUUAUAUGAAUAAGGAUCGGCUAACUCCGCGCCAGCAGCCGCGGUAAUCUGAGCGGGCGUGGCAAGGC